RNAcentral lists this long non-coding RNA (1270 nucleotides) under Homo sapiens (human). RNAcentral's name for it is "long intergenic non-protein coding RNA 1471". Lineage: Eukaryota; Metazoa; Chordata; Mammalia; Primates; Hominidae. The record is from RNAcentral.
AAUGCAGAGGUGGGGGACAGAGUGGGUGGGGAGGGGAGCCGCCAUACAGUGGCCAGGACCAGCUUUGCCCAAGUGGUGGCAACCGCAUGACCACAGGAACGAUGGCGUGAGCCCCGUGGCAACCUGGAGGAAGGGCCAAGCCACUGGUGAAUAUGCUGCAAAAAAUAUGCUGGAACUUCUAUGAAUACCACAGGGUGUGAGAAGAAAACAUUAGAACUUCUAUUUUGUACCUGUGUUACUCCACAACAAGAAAGCAAUCAGCUUGAUCAAUGCCUACUGUAAAGACGGCACCGCCCUCCGGAGGUCCUUUCUCAGCCCUGGUGUUCGGACAGCCACAUCCCCUCGCAGCAGGGGGAGGCCUGAAGCAUAGAGGGGCCCAUGCAGGUCUAUUCUGUUUCAGCGAAUUGCCUGGGAAAUAAUCCAGGAUCCAUUUCGUGUGGUCAUCUUGUCUCCCUGGUCCCCUCCAGCCUUUCCUCAUCUUUUGUGACCUGGUCACUCUGGAAGGGCGCUGGCCAGUUAGUCCACAGGAUGGGCCUCCCCUGGGGCUUUUCUGAUGCUUCCUUAUGAUGGCACUGGCAUCCUGAGGGGGAGGACCACAGAGAGGAGGUGCUCCUCAUCACACCACAUGGGGGUCCAUGCACCAGUGCCACUGCUUUCCAGGGCUCUUCACCUUCAUCACUGGUGGAGGUGGCGUCUGCCAAGAAGCAGAAAGUUGAGGCUUAGAAGGUGCACGGCCCUACCUCUUCCGAGGUGCCCCUGCGGGCUGUCUACAGACCAGGCAGCACAUGCCUGAUAGCAGCUGCAUAAGGAAAAGCAGGAGCCAGCUCGUGCACAGUGGCCUCAAGUGUGCACUGGGCAUGUUCUCUGCCUCACCAUCCCUGUGUGACAGAUGAAGCAUGGCAAGCCAGGCUCCAGAGAAGCAUCCUGAGGACCAGUGUUCCUAGGGACCUCAUUCUUCUGACCUCAUUCCUACAACGUUUUGUCACUGCAAAGGAAAUCACCAAGGCCAGCAUGACAGCCCUCAACAGAAGCCAAGGCCAAGUCCUCGAACUUCCUAGUCUGCACAAUGUCUGUCUUUCAGACACUUCUGAUGAAACUGAAAAUGCCACCAGGGAGAAGCAGCUGAACAAUGUGAGAGAUAGAAUGGAUGCCCUAAAGAAGAGGAUGCAGCAGAAAUUAGGAAGAGAUAAAGAAGAGCAACAUUCCUUAAGAAAUGCCCUAUGGUUGGGAAUGGCCAUUUCAUGUUAGAAACAAAGGUGAUAAUAUUCAA